UAGAAAGUUACCACAAAUUUAAUAUAUUAAAACAACACAAUUCUGUUGUCUUAUAGUUUUGUGGGUUUGAGGUCUAACAUAGGCCUCGGUGGGCUGAAAUCAAGAUUCGGGCAGGGCUGCUUUUGUUUUUGAAAAUUCUAGGAGUAAAAUCCGUUUCCCUGUGUGCUCCAGUUUAUCCAUGAACAUAGCCCACCUGCAUUUCAGAACCAGCAACAGGGCAUCAAAUCUUUCCCAUACUGCUAUUACUCUCUGACCAUAACCAGGAAAUGUCCUCCACUUUUAAGAAUUUAUGUGAUUAGAUUGGGCCCACCGGAUAAUCCGGGAUUAUCUCCCAGUCUCGAGAUCCUUAACCUUAAUAAGUCUGCAAAGUCGCUUUCGUGCUUUCGUUGGGUCAGGUAAAACGUUCUCCUGUUCUGGGGAUUAGGACGUAAACAUCUUUGGGGGCCAUUAUUCCUCCUACCACACUUCUCAGUGCAGUGCUGCAGGUAGUCACUACCAGCGGAUCACAGUUUGACCUGUGGUCUGGGGGACGUCAGAGCUAUCCCUACUUUGGAGAUUCAUCAGGAAAGGAAGAAGAAAAAAAAAGAAAAGCAAAGCUGGUCAGGGGAUAAUGGAAAUCAAAAGAAGACACUUAGCCUCCUGCUAAACACUUUUUGCUUUUGUUUUUCAAUCUACUUGCCAGGAUUCUCCUUGCCACGGCCAGAAGUGGAAGCAGUAAUGUCUGCUCCAGUAGCCGCGGAAAGGGAACAUCCUCUGAAGGUUGCAUUUCUACCAAUGGGAUCCUGGGGUCCCACCUCCGGGCCUCUCAGCUGGGGUCCCCUCACUUGGGAUCCGAGCGCACAGGUCAAGAAGACCUUCAUCUGAUGAAGAUGCUCCUUGCCAAACCAGUAUACUUCUCCAUGGGGCUAGGGGGCUGCAAUCCUAGCCAGGGUCAACUCUUGUUUAUGGAGAAUGGAAAACAGUGGACAGAAGAAGAUUAUCUGUGGAGGUGGAAUGGUGGAUUGCUUCUUCUCUGGGGCCACAUGAGAAGGCAAUUCCUGAGAGAGCAAUCAGACCAGAACAAAGUGCAUUCACCUUCUUGUUAACUGAUCAACAUCUGUUUCCAGAUGUUUCCCUGUGCUGGUUAUAUAGUUUGUGCUCAUUCACAUGCAAAGCCUCUCUCCGUGUAGCUCAGCAGAUGCCAUCAACAGCUCUUCAGUCUGGUAGGGAUAGGCUCUGUCUGCAAGAGUCUCAUAACUGCAACCUAGCAAUGCUGGCACCAAAGUCAGAGUUCGGAACUCACUGCAAAAGGCACCCCCACGGUGCACAGAUGAUGCAGCGGAUCAGUGUCUUUCUCACCAUGGUGACAGCAGUUGACAUGGAAACAGUUGUUCUCGCUUAUAUACAUAAUCAUUGCCCCUCACUCAGGCUUGCCAAAUGUUGAAAAUAUCUGUCUGCCCAGCAUUCAUUUCUUCCAUCUCUAGGAAAUGCACCAAGAUUAUCUUUUGGGAAAUCAUCUGGACUGAACACCCAAACCACUUGUUUUGGAUAUUAUCUGUCCAAACUCAGCAUGUGACCAAUACCUGGUAAAACUGAGCCAUAGGAAUGUGUAACCAAGCCAUUCUGAGCCCAUGAGUGUCAGGUCCAGAUUUUGCUAGAAGGAUUGGGAAAGUGACAGGGUUUUGCCUGACAUUAUAUGCUGAUGGAAAAGAAGCCUGUGGCGGCUGGAAGCUGUCUGUACCACCAGCUGUGUAGAACAUGCUUGAAAAUAAAGAAAAUUUAGAGGAAAAAAAGAGCUGAGGAGCUAAGAGAGACACAAUAUGCUGAUAAAAUAUGAACACCUGCAUGCAGCCUUACUUGAACUUAAAUACACCUUUUGACUUUUCAGUUAUAUGAACCAAUUUUUGCCCCUUUUGCUUAAGGAAGUUUGAGUUAGGCUUCUGUCACUUGCACCCACAAAAGUCCUGAUCAAUAUACAUGUUUUCUCCCUCUGUGGAGAUUUUCAUAGGAAUUGAGCAGAACUAGAGAUACACCUUUGAAAGUUUCAGCAUUUGAACAAUCUACACCUUUCUAGAAGCCCUGCUUCUGGAAAGAUAUCAGUUCAUCGGCACAUGACUAGUUGAUAAUUGCUACCUGCCAAGCAUUGUGUUGGACACCAUGGUGAGGAAGGAAGAAGCCAGCCAGGGGCCCUGUCUUCACAGAGUUUACAGCCUGGGCAGGAAGGCAGCAGUAAUACAAGUUAAAACUUAGAGCAGAAAUUCUCACCUUCAGGACCACAGCACACUGGUGAGUCACCAUAUAUUAUGAGGUAUGCCACAAAGAAUUUGUGACUCAUGAAGCUAAAGUACCAAUGUUGGCAGAUGAUUUAAAAAAUAAACAUGAAUUAGAGUAGA
Molecule: long non-coding RNA, 2372 nt
Organism: Herpailurus yagouaroundi (jaguarundi)
Lineage: Eukaryota; Metazoa; Chordata; Mammalia; Carnivora; Felidae
Exons: 2
Source: RefSeq, a predicted model, not a curated record